CAUCCCAUUUUGGUACCAUUCAUUCAGUCCACCAAAAAUUAGUGGCUUUGCUAAUGGGUGAGAGUAACUUGUCAUUGUCUGAAGAGGCAGUGACCCAGCUUUCCUAUAUGAAGUGAUGGGACGUUAACCA
Polyodon spathula (Mississippi paddlefish) is the source of this 130-nucleotide small nucleolar RNA. RefSeq annotates it as small nucleolar RNA SNORA29. The record is from RefSeq and is a predicted model, not a curated record. The transcript has a single exon. NCBI's taxonomy places the organism in Eukaryota, Metazoa, Chordata, Actinopteri, Acipenseriformes, Polyodontidae.